UGACCUCGGAUCAGGUAGGAAUACCCGCUGAACUUAAGCAUAUCAAUAAGCGGAGGAAAAGAAACCAACAGGGAUUGCCCUAGUAACGGCGAGUGAAGCGGCAACAGCUCAAAUUUGAAAUCUGGCUCUCGGGCCCGAGUUGUAAUUUGUAGAGGAUACUUUUGAUGCGGUGCCUUCCGAGUUCCCUGGAACGGGACGCCAUAGAGGGUGAGAGCCCCGUCUGGUUGGAUGCCAAAUCUCUGUAAAGUUCCUUCGACGAGUCGAGUAGUUUGGGAAUGCUGCUCUAAAUGGGAGGUAUAUGUCUUCUAAAGCUAAAUACCGGCCAGAGACCGAUAGCGCACAAGUAGAGUGAUCGAAAGAUGAAAAGCACUUUGAAAAGAGAGUUAAAAAGUACGUGAAAUUGUUGAAAGGGAAGCGUUUAUGACCAGACUUGGGCUUGGUUAAUCAUCUGGGGUUCUCCCCAGUGCACUUUUCCAGUCCAGGCCAGCAUCAGUUUUCCCCGGGGGAUAAAGACUUCGGGAAUGUGGCUCUCUUCGGGGAGUGUUAUAGCCCGUUGUGUAAUACCCUGGGGGGGACUGAGGUUCGCGCAUCUGCAAGGAUGCUGGCGUAAUGGUCAUCAACGACCCGUCUUGUAACACGGACCAAGGAGUCGUCUUCGUAUGCGAGUGUUCGGGUGUCAAACCCCUACGCGUAAUGAAAGUGAACGCAGGUGAGAGCUUCGGCGCAUCAUCGACCGAUCCUGAUGUUCUCGGAUGGAUUUGAGUAAGAGCAUACGGGGCCGGACCCGAAAGAAGGUGAACUAUGCCUGUAUAGGGUGAAGCCAGAGGAAACUCUGGUGGAGGCUCGCAGCGGUUCUGACGUGCAAAUCGAUCGUCAAAUAUGGGCAUGGGGGCGAAAGACUAAUCGAACCUUCUAGUAGCUGGUUUCCGCCGAAGUUUCCCUCAGGAUAGCAGUG
This 955-nucleotide ribosomal RNA is filed under the name Fusarium sp. RNAcentral describes it as "partial 28S ribosomal RNA". It matches the Rfam family "Eukaryotic large subunit ribosomal RNA", at positions 1 to 986 of the family's 3401-position model. The record is from RNAcentral. Lineage: Eukaryota; Fungi; Ascomycota; Sordariomycetes; Hypocreales; Nectriaceae.